UACGGAGGGUGCAAGCGUUAUCCGGAUUCACUGGGUUUAAAGGGUGCGUAGGCGGGCAGGUAAGUCAGUGGUGAAAUCCUUGAGCUUAACUCGAGAACUGCCAUUGAUACUAUCUGUCUUGAAUAUUGUGGAGGUAAGCGGAAUAUGUCAUGUAGCGGUGAAAUGCUUAGAUAUGACAUAGAACACCUAUUGCGAAGGCAGCUUACUACGCAUAUAUUGACGCUGAGGCAUGAAAGCGUGGGGGAUCAAACAGG
This 254-nucleotide ribosomal RNA is filed under the name uncultured bacterium. RNAcentral's name for it is "partial 16S ribosomal RNA". It matches the Rfam family "Bacterial small subunit ribosomal RNA", at positions 524 to 776 of the family's 1533-position model. The record is from RNAcentral.